CUGGGGUGUGCGGUAGGGACCAGGUGAGCACAACGUGGGCUCCCACUAGAGCACUGAUGCGAGUACCACUCCUGGGGCCCCAGGAACUGGGCUGUUGUGACACUACUUAGCUGGCACCCUGGCAUGUGGCUUGGCCUGAGCUCAGUCCUGGCUCUAAUUAGAGAGAUUAGACUCCUCCAUCUCCUGACAUUCUGCAGCCUAGAUCCCUGGAGAAUGAUUUUGAGUAGAACUCACAUCUCAAAUCUCUUCCAAAAGAGGAGGGGGCCAUUUUCUCAAGGGCACUCCCUAGGAGACAGGAAGCUAAGAAUUUUCAGAUUGUGUCGUUGAGGAGGGGUUGCUAGUCCAUUCCAGACAUGCAUGUGCAUCUGUGCAAAGAAAAGGAGACGGGAAAAGGUAUGCUGAGUGUAGGCUAGAAGGCAUGCUAGGAAAAGUGGAUGACAAUGAAAUGAUGGAGAAAGUUCAGACACCAAAUCCUGCAGAUGACAAUUAUUUCUAGAGGGAGUCACUGAAGGCCUGAGCAGGGAAGGACAUGGCAAAGAUUAUCGUCUGGAGCAUACCUUUUAUUCUUUAAUUUAUUACUGGGCAGGACCAGGUGAUGUACUGGAUCUGGAGUCAGGAAGACAUCUUCAUGGAUUCAUAUCCAGCCUCACACAUAAGCUAUAUGACCUUCGGAAACAUUCAAUUCUCCUCCAGUCACAAGAAAUCCAUUUCUAUAUGUGAAAUGUGAAUCCAACAUUGUUUGAACAAAACAAAAAAAGUCCACUUUAUUGAGAGAAAUAAAUGAAAAUUCACG
RNAcentral lists this long non-coding RNA (793 nucleotides) under Monodelphis domestica (gray short-tailed opossum). RNAcentral describes it as "lncRNA (ENSMODG00000029888.2)". The record is from RNAcentral. Lineage: Eukaryota; Metazoa; Chordata; Mammalia; Didelphimorphia; Didelphidae.